Molecule: long non-coding RNA, 1880 nt
Organism: Mustela lutreola (European mink)
Lineage: Eukaryota; Metazoa; Chordata; Mammalia; Carnivora; Mustelidae
Exons: 3
Source: RefSeq, a predicted model, not a curated record
GUAAAAGAAAAAUGAAACUCACACAGGUUCCUUCCUGUCUUGCUGGAAGCUGCUUCUGAGACCAUUUUUGCUUUUUUGCCCCUGCUUCCCAGUCUCCAAAUUAUAGGGUCCUACGGGGCUCUUUCCCUAUACUGCUCCCUGCCACGUGUGUAUUUCUUCCUCAGGUGACCCUGUCUAUUUCCACUACCGAAAUACUGCAGAGUGGAGGACUCUGAGACGCCCAGCUUCCGUCGCAAGCUCCAGACUCAGGCAUCCUGACAUUACCAUCUAGAUCCCUAAAUGGAAGAUUCCAUUUCAAACAUCCAGAACGGGGGCACCUGGGUGGCUCAGUCAGUUAAUGCUCGUUUCGAACCUGUGCUGUAUCAGGGAAUGAAAAACUCUUCCUCUACCCUUCUAGAUCUUCCGGCCGGACAAAGAAUUACAUCCACACGAGAACAGUCAUGGAAUGCAAGCACCUGCUGAAUCACAGGGAAAUAAGACCCAGAAAGGCCAUGGAACUUCCAGAUGUCACACAAGCUGGACGGAACUGGGAAGAGGAAGGUCUGCAAUUGUGCGUCUCGGGAGCACGUUUGCAGCAGGAAGGACUGGGGUGUUAAUUCCAGCAGCAGUGUGAACUGAGAAGCUGCCCUGGGUUUGCAGCAGGGCUGGCAAACAGUGGUUCCUCAUCUGGACAGGUGCGUGCACCUAAUUUCUGAGUCAUUGUCAUCUGAUGCAGGACGUUCGUUCCAGCAAGGACACUGGCCCGGGGCGCCUGGGGAAGGCAGUCGUGUCAGGUGCUGUGAUAAAGCCAAGUCUGACUGUCUUGCUUCUGUGAUCAAAGGAAACACGGCACUCGUGUUUCCACAGUGUACCUGUGGCCCAUGACCUUCAUCAGGAGACUGGAGACACCAUGGGCAAGGUGCCGCCGGACCCGCCCCUGCAGCCGGCAAGUCACGGAAAGCCGUGCAGGACACGGACGCCUGUGCAGACUGCCGGGCCCCUGACUGCAGCCCAUCCAUCCCCAAGCAAAUGCUCUUCUCCGUUUCUCAUCUUGGGUGGAACCAUCUCUCAGGACAUGUGGGUACCUAGCACAGUAAAGCCUUAAACACCCCACGGACAUUGUAGGGUUUGCCUCCUUUUAAAUAUUUGUGAAGUGAAGGGGUUUGAGUAAGAAACGAUGUCAUGCUGAUAUGAUGCCUGAUUAGGGACAUUGGGAAUGCUCUGUUUGCUAUUUUUACAUAGAAAUAAAAUGUGAGAGAGAUUACACAUUAUCUGGGUAUUUAAGGCACCAUUAUCAAGAGCAGAAAAUUAAGGAAAGAGUAACAUAUUGGAAAUAAGUUUAAUACAUCUAAGACGAGUGUGAGUUGGCUUCAGUGUAAGCCCAAGGAUGGGCGAGCGUCACCGGGAGGCGGCGGUCUGUGCUGAAGGCAGGGUCUGUGGGAUGCGAGACAACCUUUUCUUGUGUUCCUUUUUCUUAUGUAGUUUAUGAGGGACGGUCACACAUACAAACAUGCACUCAUGGACUUCCCAAAACAUUGAUGUGCUCUCUCACCGAUUUCCAGAGGAUGAUUCAACAUUUAAAAAAAAAAAUGUAUUUGAGGGGCACCUGGGUGGCUCAGUGGGUUAAGCCUCUGCCUUGGGCUCAGGUCAUGAUCUCAGGGUCCUGGGAUCGAGCCCCACAUCAGGCUCUCCGCUCAUCAGGGAGCUUCCUUCCCGCUCUCUCUCUGCCUGCCCUUCUGCCUGCUAGUGAUCCCUCUCUCUCUCUCUGUCAAAUAAAUAAAUAUAACAUUUUUAAAAACUGUAUUUGAGAAUUCAACACUGGACAAAAGAAUUUUUAUAGUGAAAUUCUGUGUUCAUGUGAUAGCAGUUUGCUUUUCUCAUACUUUAUCCCUUUUUGUGAC